Molecule: ribosomal RNA, 1372 nt
Filed under: uncultured bacterium
Lineage: Bacteria
Description: bacterial SSU rRNA
Rfam family: Bacterial small subunit ribosomal RNA
Source: RNAcentral
GAUGAACGCUGGCGGCGUGCCUAAUACAUGCAAGUCGAGCGAACGGACGAGAAGCUUGCUUCUCUGAUGUUAGCGGCGGACGGGUGAGUAACACGUGGGUAACCUACCUAUAAGACUGGGAUAACUUCGGGAAACCGGAGCUAAUACCGGAUAAUAUUUUGAACCGCAUGGUUCAAAAGUGAAAGACGGUCUUGCUGUCACUUAUAGAUGGAUCCGCGCUGCAUUAGCUAGUUGGUAAGGUAACGGCUUACCAAGGCAACGAUGCAUAGCCGACCUGAGAGGGUGAUCGGCCACACUGGAACUGAGACACGGUCCAGACUCCUACGGGAGGCAGCAGUAGGGAAUCUUCCGCAAUGGGCGAAAGCCUGACGGAGCAACGCCGCGUGAGUGAUGAAGGUCUUCGGAUCGUAAAACUCUGUUAUUAGGGAAGAACAUAUGUGUAAGUAACUGUGCACAUCUUGACGGUACCUAAUCAGAAAGCCACGGCUAACUACGUGCCAGCAGCCGCGGUAAUACGUAGGUGGCAAGCGUUAUCCGAAAUUAUUGGGCGUAAAGCGCGCGUAGGCGGUUUUUUAAGUCUGAUGUGAAAGCCCACGGCUCAACCGUGGAGGGUCAUUGGAAACUGGAAAACUUGAGUGCAGAAGAGGAAAGUGGAAUUCCAUGUGUAGCGGUGAAAUGCGCAGAGAUAUGGAGGAACACCAGUGGCGAAGGCGACUUUCUGGUCUGUAACUGACGCUGAUGUGCGAAAGCGUGGGGAUCAAACAGGAUUAGAUACCCUGGUAGUCCACGCCGUAAACGAUGAGUGCUAAGUGUUAGGGGGUUUCCGCCCCUUAGUGCUGCAGCUAACGCAUUAAGCACUCCGCCUGGGGAGUACGACCGCAAGGUUGAAACUCAAAGGAAUUGACGGGGACCCGCACAAGCGGUGGAGCAUGUGGUUUAAUUCGAAGCAACGCGAAGAACCUUACCAAAUCUUGACAUCCUUUGACAACUCUAGAGAUAGAGCCUUCCCCUUCGGGGGACAAAGUGACAGGUGGUGCAUGGUUGUCGUCAGCUCGUGUCGUGAGAUGUUGGGUUAAGUCCCGCAACGAGCGCAACCCUUAAGCUUAGUUGCCAUCAUUAAGUUGGGCACUCUAAGUUGACUGCCGGUGACAAACCGGAGGAAGGUGGGGAUGACGUCAAAUCAUCAUGCCCCUUAUGAUUUGGGCUACACACGUGCUACAAUGGACAAUACAAAGGGCAGCGAAACCGCGAGGUCAAGCAAAUCCCAUAAAGUUGUUCUCAGUUCGGAUUGUAGUCUGCAACUCGACUACAUGAAGCUGGAAUCGCUAGUAAUCGUAGAUCAGCAUGCUACGGUGAAUACGUUCCCGGGUCU